Long non-coding RNA from Triticum dicoccoides, 909 nucleotides. RefSeq lists it as uncharacterized. The transcript is spliced from 5 exons. Lineage: Eukaryota; Viridiplantae; Streptophyta; Magnoliopsida; Poales; Poaceae. The record is from RefSeq and is a predicted model, not a curated record.
ACUUCCUGGCCGUCCGAUUUUGUGCUUGUGGCGAUCUGUUCCGCGAUCUGUGUUAACUGGCCCGGUUGUCCUGUGGGCUGCUGCUCCACGGGCCAAAAUGGGUGCCUGUGGUGCAUUGGGCCUUGGGCGAGCCGGCAGCCCAUUCCAAAGGUACACCCAGAUCCAAUCCCGAUCUAGGAGCAGCGCAGCGACCGCAAACUCCAAACCAUACACUCCCGAUUCAGUCGAUUCCAAGAAAAGGUCCGGAUUCGAGGCGCGGAGAGAAGACAAUCCAUCCAGUCUGUCCCGAUUCGAGGCGCUGCGGACCGGCCGCGUCGAAUCCAUCCAGUCCAGAUUUGAGGCGCAAAGAGGAGUCAAUUCAUCCAAUCCAUGAAUCGCCGUCCGACUGUUCGUCUCAUGAAACUGCUUCCCGGGGGUUUCAAAGAAUUAAUCACUCUUCAGUUUCUCUCCAAGGCUCUUUGUGCACCCCUCGCGGUCAUUAAUGGAUGCCUGGCUCUUUGUUUCUCAUUUUUCCGUUGUGUAUAUAUGCUUCCUCUACGCUCACUCUUGUAACUCCGGCGACAGAACAUCCAUCAGCAUGUUGCUCUUGUAUUGUUCAUGCUGGGAGGUGGUCAACUGAUUCGGCCAGAUAUUGGAAACUGGUUCUUGCAUGUUUCUUUAAUUUCUGCAAUUCUUCUGGACAGAAAUGAGCAAAGCCCAAUAAUCUUGCAGAUAUUUGAAAGUAUGCGUGUGGAUUUUCAAGACAUGGUGCAGGCUUUGCAUCAUUCCAAGCAUAAGGCAAGAUACACUUGGUUCAAUCUGCAGGCAGUGAGGUCAGCAAAUCAUUAGAUGAGGGGAGGGGCUAUUUUAGUUACGACUGGAGGGACAACGAGCAGGAAGAGUAGGGCAACUGGAGUGCUAGAUACAGGG